AUUGAACGCUGGCGGCAGGCCUAACACAUGCAAGUCGAGCGGUAGCACAGAGAGCUUGCUCUCGGGUGACGAGCGGCGGACGGGUGAGUAAUGUCUGGGAAACUGCCUGAUGGAGGGGGAUAACUACUGGAAACGGUAGCUAAUACCGCAUAACGUCGCAAGACCAAAGUGGGGGACCUUCGGGCCUCAUGCCAUCAGAUGUGCCCAGAUGGGAUUAGCUAGUAGGUGGGGUAACGGCUCACCUAGGCGACGAUCCCUAGCUGGUCUGAGAGGAUGACCAGCCACACUGGAACUGAGACACGGUCCAGACUCCUACGGGAGGCAGCAGUGGGGAAUAUUGCACAAUGGGCGCAAGCCUGAUGCAGCCAUGCCGCGUGUGUGAAGAAGGCCUUCGGGUUGUAAAGCACUUUCAGCGGGGAGGAAGGCGAUAAGGUUAAUAACCUCAUCGAUUGACGUUACCCGCAGAAGAAGCACCGGCUAACUCCGUGCCAGCAGCCGCGGUAAUACGGAGGGUGCAAGCGUUAAUCGGAAUUACUGGGCGUAAAGCGCACGCAGGCGGUCUGUCAAGUCGGAUGUGAAAUCCCCGGGCUCAACCUGGGAACUGCAUUCGAAACUGGCAGGCUAGAGUCUUGUAGAGGGGGGUAGAAUUCCAGGUGUAGCGGUGAAAUGCGUAGAGAUCUGGAGGAAUACCGGUGGCGAAGGCGGCCCCCUGGACAAAGACUGACGCUCAGGUGCGAAAGCGUGGGGAGCAAACAGGAUUAGAUACCCUGGUAGUCCACGCCGUAAACGAUGUCGAUUUGGAGGUUGUGCCCUUGAGGCGUGGCUUCCGGAGCUAACGCGUUAAAUCGACCGCCUGGGGAGUACGGCCGCAAGGUUAAAACUCAAAUGAAUUGACGGGGGCCCGCACAAGCGGUGGAGCAUGUGGUUUAAUUCGAUGCAACGCGAAGAACCUUACCUGGUCUUGACAUCCACAGAACUUUCCAGAGAUGGAUUGGUGCCUUCGGGAACUGUGAGACAGGUGCUGCAUGGCUGUCGUCAGCUCGUGUUGUGAAAUGUUGGGUUAAGUCCCGCAACGAGCGCAACCCUUAUCCUUUGUUGCCAGCGGUUCGGCCGGGAACUCAAAGGAGACUGCCAGUGAUAAACUGGAGGAAGGUGGGGAUGACGUCAAGUCAUCAUGGCCCUUACGACCAGGGCUACACACGUGCUACAAUGGCAUAUACAAAGAGAAGCGACCUCGCGAGAGCAAGCGGACCUCAUAAAGUAUGUCGUAGUCCGGAUUGGAGUCUGCAACUCGACUCCAUGAAGUCGGAAUCGCUAGUAAUCGUAGAUCAGAAUGCUACGGUGAAUACGUUCCCGGGCCUUGUACACACCGCCCGUCACACCAUGGGAGUGGGUUGCAAAAGAAGUAGGUAGCUUAACCUUCGGGAGGGCGCUUACCACUUUGUGAUUCAUGACUGGGGUGA
This 1463-nucleotide ribosomal RNA is filed under the name uncultured Klebsiella sp. Its description in RNAcentral is "bacterial SSU rRNA". It matches the Rfam family "Bacterial small subunit ribosomal RNA". The record is from RNAcentral. Lineage: Bacteria; Pseudomonadati; Pseudomonadota; Gammaproteobacteria; Enterobacterales; Enterobacteriaceae.